AAUUGUUGAUGCUCUUUUAGUAUUUGUCUAGUAGGCUAACUAACGUUAGCCACU
This 54-nucleotide small nuclear RNA is filed under the name Eptatretus burgeri (inshore hagfish). RNAcentral's name for it is "U7 small nuclear RNA (ENSEBUG00000000237.1)". It matches the Rfam family "U7 small nuclear RNA". Rfam says of the family: Animal histone pre-mRNAs are spliced by a different mechanism than nuclear pre-mRNAs and self-splicing introns. This processing involves the U7 snRNP, which contains only one RNA species: U7. The 5' end of U7 RNA is thought to base-pair to a conserved spacer element downstream of the cleavage site in histone pre-mRNA. The record is from Rfam by way of RNAcentral. Lineage: Eukaryota; Metazoa; Chordata; Myxini; Myxiniformes; Myxinidae.